This 413-nucleotide ribosomal RNA is filed under the name uncultured bacterium. Its description in RNAcentral is "bacterial SSU rRNA". It matches the Rfam family "Bacterial small subunit ribosomal RNA", at positions 505 to 916 of the family's 1533-position model. The record is from RNAcentral.
GUGCCAGCAGCCGCGGUAAAACGUAGGUCCCGAGCGUUGUUCGGAUUCACUGGGUGUAAAGGGCGCGUAGGUGGUUGUCUGUGUCUCAUGUGAAAACUCAGGGCUCAACUCUGAGAUGGCGUGGGAAACUAGGCAGCUAGAGGACGGUAGAGGGGAGUGGAAUUCCCGGUGUAGCGGUAAAAUGCGUAGAUAUCGGGAGGAACACCAGUGGCGAAGGCGACUACCUGGACGACAACUGACGCUGAGGCGCGAAAGCUAGGGGAGCGAACCGGAUUAGAUACCCGGGUAGUCCUAGCCGUAAACGAUGGGUGCUAGGUGUUGGGGGGUAAAGACCCUUCAGUGCCGAAGCCAACGCGAUAAGCAUCCCACCUGGGGAGUACGGCCGCAAGGUUGAAACUUAAAGGAAUUGACGG